UGAAAGUCCAACCUUUAUUGUAUAUCCCUUUCUCAUGCUUUCUCUCUCUAUAUGCCCUCUCGGGGUUCUCUCUCCCUUUUUCUUGCAGGAACCUUUCAUAUCCAAGAGAAAUGGUUCAUAAUUCAUACUAAUCAAAGAAAAGGUUCCUUAAAAAGAAGAAGAAGAUUUGGAGGAGAAGAAGAAGAUUUGCAUGAAGUUUUGUUUCCCCUUUUCUCUCUUUUUUCCCCUAAAAUUAUGUCUUUUUUCUAUAUGAUGCAUCAUUAUCUAAUGUAUUGAGAAAAUUAAUUUAAUGUGCUAAAUUUGUAUCUCAAUAAAAUCAAUAUAGCAAAUGAGAGAGUUUUUCUCUUAUGAAUUUUUCA
Papaver somniferum (opium poppy) is the source of this 359-nucleotide long non-coding RNA. RefSeq lists it as uncharacterized. NCBI's taxonomy places the organism in Eukaryota, Viridiplantae, Streptophyta, Magnoliopsida, Ranunculales, Papaveraceae. The record is from RefSeq and is a predicted model, not a curated record. The transcript is spliced from 2 exons.